CAAAAUUCCAAACCAAAAUGUGUCCUUAGAUUUGAAUUCCGGAGCAGCCUGGAGCAGGCCCAAGCAUCAGUAUCAGUCCAUCACAUCGGUGGGCUCAGAGCACAGUUGCCAUGGGCAGUGUUAGUCCGCUCUCGCCUCCAGUCCCAACAGCCAGUCUUUCCAAAUAUUCUGCAGCCACACCCAGAUGGGAGAACACCUAAUUUCCACACAUCAUGCGGGAGCAGCUGAGCCAAGUUAUUGUGGCAUUUUCAUUUAGUAACCUAAAAUAAAGGGAUAAUGUAAAGACACGAGGGUCUCAUUUUACACUCAGCACAACUUACUACAAUCACAGGUCCCUGCCUUUGGGGAAUCAAAGCUUUAAAGAUAUUCACAAAUCAACCUUUUCAUCGACGUCUACAUCCAAGACUGUGGUUUCAUAGCCAACCGUUCCAUCUACUCAAAAUGUUCUGUUGGCUGAAUUUGUUUGAUUUCAGUUGAAAAUGUUACAAUUGCAAUUGGAACACAGAACACAGAACAGAGCCACACAGGGUGUUCAGCCCAUGAUGUCUGUGCUGAAUAUGAUGCCAAAUUAAAUAAAGAUAUUGAACACAGAACACUGCAGCACAGAAACAGCUCUUUUGGGUCAUCUGGUCCAUACACAACCAUUAAUCUGUCUAGUCCUAUUGAAUUGAGCCCAGACCAUAGCCCUCUACACCCCUCCCAUCCAUGCAUCUAUCCAAAUUUUUCUUAAGUGUUGAAAUCAAUGUGGCAUUCAGCUCAUUCAACACUCUCACCACCCCGAGUGAAUAAAUUCUGCCUUAGGUUCCGCUUAAAUAUUUCACCUUUCACCUUUAACUGAUAACCUCUAGGUAUAACCUGUUUAUACCUGGAAUAAUUUUGUACACCACUUUGAACCACCCCCCAACCUUUUACCCUCUAGGCAAUAAAAUAAUAGCCAAUUUAAUGUUUCUUUAUAAUUCAGGUCCUCAAGCACCCUAAAUCUCUCAUCAAGGCCUCUUCACCUAGCCUAUCCUACCAAUAUGUACAUAGAACAUAGAAUAGUACAGCACAUUUCAGGCCCUUCAACCCACAAUGUUGUGCUGACCCUCAAACCCUGCCUCCCAUAUAACCCCCUACCUUAAAUUCCUCUAUAUACCCGUCUAGUAGUCUCCUAAAUUUCACUAGUGUAUCUGCCUCCACCACUGACUCAGGCAGUGCAUUCCAUGCACCAACCACUCUCUGAGUGAAAAACCUUCCUCUAAUAUCCCCCUUGAACUUCCCUCCCCUUACCUUAAAGCCAUGUCCUCUUGUACUGAGCAGUGGUGCCCUGGGGAAGAGGCGCUGGCUGUUCACUCUGUCUAUUCCUCUUAAUAUCUUGUACCAAGACAGCUGGCUGCUCACUGUCUAGAAUGUUGUGGCCUGAUCUGAGACAUCCAUAACCUGGCACCUGGGAGGUAACAUACCAUCUAAGUGUUUCUAUCGUAUUCACAGAAUCUCAUCUCUAUUCCUUUCCCUAGUGCCAGACAGAGGCUGUAAGGAGAGAGUUAAUUGAGUUUUCUCCAUGGUAUAUGCUAAAAUAAAAUGCAAGUCUGUUAAAGAAAGUGCUGUGAGCUGGGAGUGGGUCUGUUUUGAAGAAGUACAAGAGAAUCCUGGAUUCAUACAUGGAGCUAAGAAAAAUAGAGGGCUAUGGGUAAGCCUAGGUAGUUGUAAGGUAACAACAUGUUUGGCACAGCUUUGUGGGCUGAAGGGCCUGUAUUGUGCCAUAGUGUGGUGAAUUACAUAUACCUGUCUGGACACGCCCCCUGCUGACUGCUCCUGUGGUUCCUCCCAUAGACCCCUGUGUAAAGGCGAUUGAGGCCUGAGCCCGGCCUCCAGGAUGUAGUAUGGUGGUCACUCACUGCUUGUUCCUUCUUCCAGUCAAUAAAAGCUGAUAUCUUGCCUUUACAUCUCAGAGUGAGUUAUUGAUGGUGCAUCACAUAGGUUUUCUGUAUUUAUGUUUCUAGAAUCAGUCCAUUGCAAAGUGUAGAGAAGCUUCAGAGUCUCUGCAGGUCCAUUGCCAGAGCAGUAGAAGAUGGUUAAGUAGAUAUUUUUUUGACAGGAAGGCGAGGUCAUUGUUCAGAUGGAGGUACAGGUACCAAAUGCAUGGAAAAAUACCAGUGUAAGCGGUCUUGAAGGGUAUAAAAAGGGCACCUUCUUGGUGCUAGAGGAGAGAGUUCUGUCCUAGGCUUGGUCACAGCAGCUGACCCUAGUAAUAAUAUAGAGAACAGCACGUAGAGAGAGUCAGAGUAUGUCAAAUUGGAGGGAGGGAGGGAGGGAGGGAGGGAGAGAGAGAGAGAGAGAGAGAGAGAGAGAGAGAGAGAGAGAGAGAGAGAGAGAGAGAGAGAGAGACUUUAUGGAAGCAUUUCACAGAUCAGCUUGUUCAGUGAAUGAUAAGUAUUAUUCUGAUUUCUGUACUGCUACUACUACAGACAUUUGCUUUUUUUCUUUCUGUAUUGCAUUUGUGCUUGUUCUAAUAAAGUGUUUUCUUGUGGACUUGAA
Hypanus sabinus (Atlantic stingray) is the source of this 2517-nucleotide long non-coding RNA. RefSeq lists it as uncharacterized. The transcript has 2 exons. NCBI's taxonomy places the organism in Eukaryota, Metazoa, Chordata, Chondrichthyes, Myliobatiformes, Dasyatidae. The record is from RefSeq and is a predicted model, not a curated record.